UACAGAGGAGCCAAGCGUUGUCCGGAUUGACUGGGCGUAAAGCGCACGCAGGCGGGUUCGCGCGUGGGGGGUGAAAUCUGGCCGCUUAACGGCCAGGCGCCAUCCCAUACGGCGCGCCUGGAGCCUUGCAGAGGUCGGUGGAAUUGCCGGUGUAGUGGUGAAAUGCGUAGAUAUCUGGAGGAACACCGGUGGCGAAGGCGGCAUCCUGGACCAACACUGACGCUGAGGAGCGAAAGCCAGGGGAGCAAACGGG
RNAcentral lists this ribosomal RNA (253 nucleotides) under uncultured bacterium. Its description in RNAcentral is "partial 16S ribosomal RNA". It matches the Rfam family "Bacterial small subunit ribosomal RNA", at positions 524 to 776 of the family's 1533-position model. The record is from RNAcentral.